Long non-coding RNA from Oncorhynchus nerka (sockeye salmon), 1016 nucleotides. RefSeq lists it as uncharacterized. NCBI's taxonomy places the organism in Eukaryota, Metazoa, Chordata, Actinopteri, Salmoniformes, Salmonidae. The record is from RefSeq and is a predicted model, not a curated record. The transcript has 4 exons.
AGUGACUAUGUUGAUAUGUUUCCAAUGUGAGUUCAAGGAAAGUGGUGUGGUUGUUGUUGUUGUCAACGUUGGAGCUGGAAAGGCGCUGGCGGUGGCCAGAGCUGCGGGGGUCACAGCCGUUGCCCAAAUAACAGACGUCAACGAACUGAAGAAACUGAUUGUAGAGCUUGAGAAGGAGGUUACAGAGCUGGAGAGGUGAGAUUGAGGUGAAGAGAGAAGCAAAUGUGGAGUGUCGUAUUGAGGAGAGGCAGGAGCAGUAGCAUGGCCUGCCGGUCCAGAUGAGGGAGCAGUGUGGGGAGUACGAGGGGCUGCUGGGUCAGACGAUCGCCCCGGACAUCGAGAUCGCUGCCUACAGUCCACCUGGCCGUGCUGCUGCUCCAGUUUCAACUGUUCUGCCUGCGGCUAUGGAACCCUGACCUGUUCACCGGAUGUGCUGCCUGUCCCGGACCUGCUGUUUUCAGCUCUCUAGAGACAGCAGGAGUGGUAGAGAUACUCUGAAUUAUUGGCUAUGAAAAGCCAACUGACAUUUACUUCUGAGGUGCUGACCUGUUGCACCCUCGACAUUUACUGUGAUUAUUAUUAUUUGACCCUGCUGGUCAUCUAUGAACAUUUUAACAUCUUGGCCAUAUUCUGUUAUAAUCUCCACCUGGCACAGCCAGAAGAGGACUGGCAACCCCUCAUAGCCUGGUUCCUCUCUCGGUUUCUUCCUAGGUUCUGGCCUUUCUAGGGAAUUUUUCCUAGCCACCAUGCUUCUACACCUGCAUUGCUUGCUGUUUGGGGUUUUCUGUACAACACUUUGUUGCAUCAGUUGAUGUAAGAAGGGCUUUAUAAUUAAAUUGGAUUGAUUGAUUGAUAUGCACCUAUGUUGUCAACUUUCAUUCAUAGGCUAGGUUGUAGCAACCCCAUGAUGGAUGUAGGGAAAAUUUGAGUAUCAUGUAGUAGCCUAAACCUAUCGAUGUUACUUUGAACUGGGUGAAUGGAAUAUGAAUGACAGCCAUAUAAUAUGCUGUAAUAGA